This 1498-nucleotide long non-coding RNA is filed under the name Helianthus annuus (common sunflower). RNAcentral's name for it is "sRNA HanXRQr2_Chr02g0063151". Lineage: Eukaryota; Viridiplantae; Streptophyta; Magnoliopsida; Asterales; Asteraceae. The record is from RNAcentral.
UGAUGUAUUAGAAUAUAUAUAUAUAUAUAUAUAUAUAUACAAACCGUAAUGCAAAAAUGUAGAAUGAAUUUCAAAAUGUUCGUAAUGAUCGUCGGGUAGUAUUGAACUUGAAUGCUCGUAACUGUGGAAAUUCUGAUAGAAUAUAAGAGACGACAAAUAUUGUCAAGAAAUGCUAACUUUGAUGCUAGGCUUGUUGGCCAUGUUCAUUUGAACAAAACAUUGUAGAAAAGAUACGCAUGGCAUAAAUAACAAUAGUAACCUUGGAAACGAUGCUUAGUCUUCGUGAUAAGUACAGAUAAGUAGGUUUGAGAAGGGUGAUUUUGGUUGUAAUAAUAAGUCUUUGAAUGAAUAUAGUAUGCGUAUGAUAAUAUAUCGACCUCUCCUAAGAGCUUUAAGGUAAUCAGAAGUAAUGAUAGUAAUGUAAUGUUUAGGAUGGCUCAUAGUGAACAAAAUGAAAGAUUGUACAUGAUGUAUGAGUAGAAUGAAAUAAAUCGACUUAUUUCGAUGAAUGAAUGUAAUAUGCUUAAAUAGGAAGCUAGAAACAAGCCGCAAACCUAAGUCUAUACGAGUAAUAAUUGUAUACAAUUCGAAUAAAAUUCGAUGAAUGAAACACUAGUCAUGAUAUGUGCUAAGUACUGGUGUUAUAAAGUAAGAGGCACUAAUAAGAGCUCUGGAGCAGAAUCUAACAUAAGUAUUGUGAAUGAAUAACUUGAAAGGGUUAAGAGUAGAUUUGGUUUGGUUUGGUUUGAAUGAGAAAGGUUUCGGGGACGAAACCUCAUUUAAGGAGGGUAGACUUGUAACGCCCCAAAACUCGAGUCUAAAUAUUUUAUUUUGACAUUUUAUUAGGUUGGCAUGAGUAAGUAGGAUUUAUUGGUCAAGUGGGUUAUUUCACUAACAACCAAGUUAUCUAACUUGGUUAGAUAGUGUUGGCUAUAGAUUGAGAGUGGAAAACAAUGGGGCCAACUAUGUUUAAUUUACAAUCAUAAGGGACUAAUGUGGGUUAAAAGGAAAGUUGGGAUAUUAUAAGAAAAUAACAACACACACAAACACACAUUCGUGUGUGUUCUACGUCGAUCAGAAGCUCCCAAAGGAGCCAAACCCUAGCUCAAGCUUAUUUGCUCAAAUUGAAAGGGGAAUUCAACCCAAAUCUAAUGCAUGUACCCGAAUUCUUAGUCAUCUAGCCCUAAAGAUCACUUGGAACCACACUAGCAUGGACCAAGCAUGGAAGGCUAACGGGUCAAGAUGAGGCAAGCAAGCGGGUAUGAACACGGAUGCACAAAGUACUACACGGAUUUCUUCUGCUGCUAAGGAAGUGAAGCGGACAUAGAUCGAGUCAAGAGCAAGGAUUGUACGGAUAGAACGGCCACAUAGUUUGAAAUACGUAAUGCUUUGAAACGUUAAUUUAAUGUAAAUAUUGUAAACCUCUUCCAGUAAGCGCUUAACAUUUUCGUAUUUGAGCUUUUAUGUAAGUAAUGUGUCUAAUAAAGAAAGUAAUUUC